This 415-nucleotide non-coding RNA is filed under the name Pluralibacter gergoviae. The record is from RNAcentral. Lineage: Bacteria; Pseudomonadati; Pseudomonadota; Gammaproteobacteria; Enterobacterales; Enterobacteriaceae.
AGAUUUUCCAGCGUGCUGUUGAGCGGCUUAAUGAACAGCGAAUUGUUGGCAAGCUUCACAUCGCCCUUUGCCAGCACCUGCUCGCCGUUGAGCGGAAUGUCCAGAUGCAGGCGGGCGCUGACGUCGCCGUCCAGCUGCAGCUCGUCGAGGGUCGCCCCGAGAGACUUUUUCAGCGGCGUCUGCUGGAAGUAGGGACCGACGGCUUUGCCCGGACCGCGAAUAUCCGAGUCGAUAAUCAGCUUGUGCUUCGAGUAAUCGGGAAUGGCGGCGUGAAGAUCGGAGGCGGUGACGCCGCCGAGCGCAACCUUAUCCGCCUGCAUCCACAGACCGUCGUUGAGGAAGUUGAGAUCGAUAUUGAGGUUAGUGAGCGCCGGCCAGCCGGGCUGGAAGGCAAAGGUCGCAUUGUGCAGCGGUA